RNAcentral lists this ribosomal RNA (423 nucleotides) under uncultured bacterium. Its description in RNAcentral is "bacterial SSU rRNA". It matches the Rfam family "Bacterial small subunit ribosomal RNA", at positions 207 to 622 of the family's 1533-position model. The record is from RNAcentral.
AAGACCUUGCACUUUUGGAGCGGCCGAUGUCUGAUUAGCUAGUUGGUGGGGUAAUGGCCUACCAAAGCUUCGAUCAGUAGCUGGUCUGAGAGGACGGCCAGCCACACUGGGACUGAGACACGGCCCAGACCCCUACGGGAGGCAGCAGUGGGGAAUUUUGGACAAUGGGCGCAAGCCUGAUCCAGCCAUGCCGCGUGAGUGAAGAAGGCCUUUGGGUUGUAAAGCUCUUUCAGCUGGAACGAAACGGUACGCCUUAAUACGGUGUGCUAAUGACGGUACCAGCAGAAGAAGCACCGGCUAACUACGUGCCAGCAGCCGCGGUAAUACGUAGGGUGCAAGCGUUAAUCGGAAUUACUGGGCGUAAAGGGUGCGCAGGCGGCUCUGUAAGUCAGAUGUGAAAUCCCCGGGCUUAACCUGGGAAUU